Pan troglodytes (chimpanzee) is the source of this 866-nucleotide long non-coding RNA. RefSeq lists it as uncharacterized. The record is from RefSeq and is a predicted model, not a curated record. NCBI's taxonomy places the organism in Eukaryota, Metazoa, Chordata, Mammalia, Primates, Hominidae. The transcript has 3 exons.
UUUACAUUUAAAUGUAAUUAUUAAUAAAAUUACCUAACAUUAAAAAUACAGUUCCUCAGUAGUGCUAACCUCAUUUCAAGUGCUCAUUAGCCACAUGUGGCUAGUGGCUACUGCACUGGACACUGCCAAUUAAUGAACAUCGCCAUCAUUGCAGGAAGUGCAACUGGACAGCACUGACCCAGAGACAGGGGUUAAAAUGGACCUUCCUUCCUAUCAAGCCAUGGACUAAUGAUCAAGGAGUGGGACCAUUUAUCAGACCUGUCCAGUCUAUGAAUUCCACCCCAAGGGCCACAGUUGUGCACGGGCAUUGAGCCAAUCCCUGGACUUCUGCUGGCACGUGGGAGGAAGGACUCUCUCUUUCCAUGAGGAUUGCUGAGAGGAAGCCUAGGGCUGCCAGCAAUCAUCCUGCCACCGCAAGGGAGGUGCACACCUGAAUGAAGGUAACAGCCGCAGAGAGCAAAGCCCACAUGGAGGAGCCAGGACAGGAUGGAGACAACAAGGCUUGAGCCCCUAGAUCCGGGCAUGCCUGGCCUUUUAGUUGCUCGUCUGAUCUCUAUUGGAUACUUCCCUCUGGAGGAAGCCAACUGCUUUGCUGGAAGCAGCCCUGGGGAGAUGCCAUGGAGUAAGAAACUGAAGCUUCCAACCAACAGCUGUCAGGGAACUGAAGUCUCUUUCCAAGAGCCAUAUGAAUUAGCUUAGACAUGGAUCUUCCAUCCUAGCCAGCCCUUGGAAGACCAGCCCCCAGCCUACAUCCUGAAUGCAACCUCACUAGAGACCCUGAGCCAGAACAACCCAGUCAGGCUACUCCUGGGUUCUUGAGUCCAGGAACUACAUGAGAUAAUAAAUGUUUGUUGUUUUAAGCCUAU